AGAAGAUAAAAAAGAUAAAAGUACAAACCAGGUGGACUUAUCCUACAAUUUACCAUCUUGAAUGCACCAUUGUCUCACCUGAACUGCCUCUUGUAUGGGCAGGAAGAAAAAAAUACAUUUUAAAGAUAACAUAUAAUUUGUAUUUCACUUGAUCAGCUGUUAUGCUCAUCAAUGUAUAUGUACAUGUUUCAAGUACAUAGGACUAUUUAUGCAAAUUUUCAUGAAAAAGUGGUUUAGUUUGGGAUAAUUGUGUCUGGAAAGUUAUAUUUCUAGAUAAUCUGUAUUUCUAUUAACAUUUCUUACCAGACAAAUUUAAAAUAUGGAAAAAACUAUUACAGAAUUUUAUACCAUAUUUCAGCUUUCUUCAGAACUAUCUAGCGGGUUUUUUCUUAAUACAAUGUAUAUAUAACAGUAAGAUAUUAAAAUCAGUACACUUUGGUAACUGCUGAUGCAAUGAGGGGGAUCUUUUCACCAAACAGAAUAUAUGUGCAUUAAAGAUUAGGUUACUAAACUUCUACAUAAACCUGUCCUGUAAAUUGUGUAUGUAAUAUGCAUAUAUGAUACAAACACCCUCUUGAAAUAAAGUUAGCGUGUUUUCAGUGUAUUUGAGGUUUUACAAAAUAUUUCAUUAUUUAUUAUUUUCGUUUUAAUUUUCAAAAGACAAACUAGCUGCUUUCUUAGAAUUUGCUUUAAGUAAAUAUUGUUUGUUAUAAUAUACUUACAGUUAUAUUCUUUUCUCAGACCUGUGAGUUCAUAAAAAACGUCGUAAAAAUGCAGCAUUUCAUCUGGGAGUAAGGAAAAUCAGUAUUCAUCAAGACAGAUUUAAGAACAUUCCUAACAUAGACCAAAUUUAAGCUAUUUAAUAGAUAUGUGAUAUUCAUUACAUAUACACACAUACAAAAUUGACACUGGUAUGUACAGUACCUGUCAGCUAUAAUGGAGGAUAUCAAAAAAUUAUUUUUUUCAGAUACUUAAUACCUACAAUUAAAAAACAAUAUGUAUAGUUUGAAAGUAGAGAGGGGAAAACAACAUUUUAAAUGUUAGUGAACGGAACUAUUCACCAAUAAUGUUUUGAAGUUUUGUUCUCGACCUCCUCUGUAUGACGAGGUUGAGUUUAUCAUUACGUAUAAGAACACACUUCCUACCCAGUAUUUGCACUGUAAAGGGUAAAAAACAGGGAGAAUAUGGAUUACUGUAUAUCAGUGAAGAUUUAAAUUUGGACUUUAUUGGUGAAAGUGAAUAUAUUACACGGCAAGGAUGUUCUUGUUCGUCAUAAUGUGAUGAAAUUUCAAAAUGUAUUGCCAAAUAUAAGUUCUAUUCCAUAUGUAAGAUACAAAUAUAAUGGCUACUUUUUUUAAAUGGUGAAUAUAUAAUUUUGAAAAAAAAAAUCCGAAACAUUGACUAAUUUGAAAAGACCUUGUAAAUAUCAUUUCUUAUGACCCGUAUAUUUCACGAGUGUAUAUGUACAAUUGUAUGACAAAAGGGUAUUGAUGAUAUUUUGUGUGUAUGAAUACGUAAGAUACAUUGAUUACUGGUACUUUAUAUAUAUGGUGAUAUCUUAGUCAUUAAAUUUGAAUUUAUAGAUUUUAACAUCUUUUUGAACCUCUCAUCAUUUGAAAUUUCAUUGACUUUUAAUAGGAUACUUGGGUAUAACAUAGCCUUUUUCAUGAACUGGCUUUUCUAUAAACUUGCAUCUCUUCACCUUUUACCAUGCAUACUGUACAUGUAUACUGGUGUAGAGGUGUACGAAAGCAUGCAUGGACAAUUCUUUGAUUAAAUAUUUUUAGCAUCAAAGGUUUUAAGAUUAUAAUUGAAAAUUCCGAGUACACUGUUUCUGUUUAAAGAAAAAUUGUUUUGAACAAAAAGUGAUUGGCAACCAGUUCAAAAUGUAAAUGUUUUAAAAAAUGAAGAAAAAAAAUGUGUAUGCAUUUCAUUUAAGGUUAAAAAAAUGAACUGAUGAACACAUUUUAAAUUGAUUUCCAUUUUAGUACAUACAUUGUUUUAAUAACAUUCCAUCAAAUGAAAACAAACAAUAUAAGACUAUGAUCAAAGCCAUUGUCAGUCUAUCAUAAUGAUGGUAUCUUGUGUCGACCAUUUCCUGAAAAGGCUCUGCUCGAUUUGUAGACUGGAAACACAUCUUGCUUGACCGGGCAAUCACUCAUUUACAAAGAAAAAUCAGUGGUACGUGCGAAAUCAAUAAGACCGACACAUUCCAAAUUAGACUAGCACACAACAAAUCGAGCAGAGCCCUAACAUUGAUUGUUGAAUGAAAUAGAACUGUGUUCCCUUCUCUCCUUAAGUCGUACCUAGUCGUGUUGUCAUCCGUGUCUUAUAUUGGAAUAUGUAAACUAGAAGUAUGUAUACGCUUGUGUUAAUAGAGGUAUGUAGACACUGUGUGUUGUCAGGGGAUGCAUUUAACCGACGUCUUCUCACAGAGGUUUGUCUGGCAGUCUUCUACCCGAUUAACAAUUCAAAGAUUUGAAAACGUGUUCAGUCAUGUUUUCUUUAAUCUGAAAUUCAAACUGUAAGGGUGUUUAAAAACCUGUUGCAGGCUAGCGCUGUUGAAAACCAUUUGACCUAGAACUUAAUGUGAUCAUUUUAGCACACCAGGAUUAUUUCAGUCAUAUCCAAUCCUAUGCUGAUAUUUGAAUAGGUACAGACAUUCGAUGUUGAAAUAUUGUGGGUUCUUUUCUUUUCCUUUUUUUUUUCUUUUAAAGAAAUUGACCAAUCACUGCUGGUGUUCGAGAAUUUGGUUGCAAGGCAUCACAUACCACUCAUGUGACCAGGGUUUUUACACACUGACCAAUUUUUGUGAAGUGUCCAGAUUUGCUAAGGUCUGAUCAAUCAUUGUGAUGUGUCCAUAUUUAUUAGACACUGACCAAUCACUGAAAUGUCGAGGGUUGCAAGGCUGUUACCAAUUAAAUAAAGUGACCUGGGUCGCUUAGAAUGGUGAGGUACCCAGGGUUUCUAGGUUCUGACCAAUCAUGAUCAAUGUGAGGUACCCCAGGUUGCUAGGCUCUGAUCCAUCGUUGUGAGGUACCCAGGGUUGCUAGGUUCUGACCAAUCAUUAUGAGGUACCAAGAGUUGCUAGGUUCUGACCAAUCAUGAUCAAUGUGAGGUACCCCAGGUUGCUAGGCUCUGAUCCAUCGUUGUGAGGUACCCAGGGUUGCUAGGUUCUGACCAAUCAUUAUGAGGUAACAAGAGUUGCUAGGUUCUGACCAAUCAUUGUGCAGUGUCAAGGAUGGGUUGGAAGGCUCUGACCAAUCACCACCAUUCAGAUUUGAUAGACUGACCAAUCGCUGUGAAGUGCCCAGUGUUGGGUGUAGAAUUGUCAUCACCACCACAUGCCUUAUCCUGUGUGUAUGUAUGUAUUUAGUAUGUUAUAUCACUGUUAUAAUCAAAAGUAGAGGCAAUAAAGAGAAUGUCAACUUA
Molecule: long non-coding RNA, 3432 nt
Organism: Mizuhopecten yessoensis (Yesso scallop)
Lineage: Eukaryota; Metazoa; Mollusca; Bivalvia; Pectinida; Pectinidae
Exons: 2
Source: RefSeq, a predicted model, not a curated record